Molecule: transfer RNA, 72 nt
Filed under: Camelus bactrianus (Bactrian camel)
Lineage: Eukaryota; Metazoa; Chordata; Mammalia; Artiodactyla; Camelidae
Also listed under: 2 other names
Rfam family: tRNA
About the family: Transfer RNA (tRNA) molecules are approximately 80 nucleotides in length. Their secondary structure includes four short double-helical elements and three loops (D, anti-codon, and T loops).
Source: Rfam by way of RNAcentral
GAGGGCAUAGCUCAGUGGUAGAGCACAUGCUUAGCAUGCACAAGGUCCUGGGUUCAAUCCCCAGUAUCUUCA